This 460-nucleotide ribosomal RNA is filed under the name uncultured bacterium. RNAcentral describes it as "partial 16S ribosomal RNA". It matches the Rfam family "Bacterial small subunit ribosomal RNA", at positions 338 to 795 of the family's 1533-position model. The record is from RNAcentral.
CCUACGGGUGGCAGCAGUGAGGAAUAUUGGUCAAUGGACGCAAGUCUGAACCAGCCAUGCCGCGUGCAGGAAGACGGCUCUAUGAGUUGUAAACUGCUUUUGUACGAGGGUAAACGCAGAUACGCGUCUCUGUCUGAAAGUAUCGUACGAAUAAGCAUCGGCUAACUCCGUGCCAGCAGCCGCGGUAAUACGGAGGAUUCAAGCGUUAUCCGGAUUUAUUGGGUUUAAAGGGUGCGUAGGCGGUCGGAUAAGUUAGAGGUGAAAUCCCGGGGCUCAACUUCGGAAUUGCCUCUGAAACUGGUCGGCUUGAGAGUAGUUGCGGUAGGCGGAAUGUGUGGUGUAGCGGUGAAAUGCUUAGAGAUCGUACAGAACACCGAUUGCGAAGGCAGCUUACCGGGCUACUACUGACGUUGAGGCACGAAAGCGUGGGGAGCGAACAGGAUUAGAUACCCGAGUAGUC